This 497-nucleotide ribosomal RNA is filed under the name uncultured bacterium. Its description in RNAcentral is "partial 16S ribosomal RNA". It matches the Rfam family "Bacterial small subunit ribosomal RNA", at positions 28 to 507 of the family's 1533-position model. The record is from RNAcentral.
GAUGAACGCUGGCGGCGUGCCUAAUACAUGCAAGUCGAGCGAACGGACGAGAAGCUUGCUUCUCUGAUGUUAGCGGCGGACGGGUGAGUAACACGUGGAUAACCUACCUAUAAGACUGGGAUAACUUCGGGAAACCGGAGCUAAUACCGGAUAAUAUUUUGAACCGCAUGGUUCAAAAGUGAAAGACGGUCUUGCUGUCACUUAUAGAUGGAUCCGCGCUGCAUUAGCUAGUUGGUAAGGUAACGGCUUACCAAGGCAACGAUGCAUAGCCGACCUGAGAGGGUGAUCGGCCACACUGGAACUGAGACACGGUCCAGACUCCUAAGGGAGGCAGCAGUAGGGAAUCUUCCGCAAUGGGCGAAAGCCUGACGGAGCAACGCCGCGUGAGUGAUGAAGGUCUUCGGAUCGUAAAACUCUGUUAUUAGGGAAGAACAGAUGUGUAAGUAACUGUGCACAUCUUGACGGUACCUAAUCAGAAAGCCACGGCUAACUACGUG